GGUUUGAUAACCUGCUGCUGCUGCUGUGAUCCUGCAGGGAGAGUCUGACGACUCCAUCCUGAGGCUGGCUAAGAAUGACACCAUUGUUGCAAAGAACAUCUAAGGUCAACUCUGGAGCCACGGCAAAUUUGUAAAAUAAAAAUGGAGAAAAAAAAAA
This is a long non-coding RNA of Oryzias latipes (Japanese medaka), 157 nucleotides long. RefSeq lists it as uncharacterized. NCBI's taxonomy places the organism in Eukaryota, Metazoa, Chordata, Actinopteri, Beloniformes, Adrianichthyidae. The record is from RefSeq and is a predicted model, not a curated record.